Molecule: ribosomal RNA, 388 nt
Filed under: uncultured bacterium
Lineage: Bacteria
Description: bacterial SSU rRNA
Rfam family: Bacterial small subunit ribosomal RNA
Source: RNAcentral
AUUGAACGCUGGCGGCAUGCCUUACACAUGCAAGUCGAACGGCAGCACGGGAGCAAUCCUGGUGGCGAGUGGCGAACGGGUGAGUAAUAUAUCGGAACGUGCCCAGUCGUGGGGGAUAACGUAGCGAAAGCUACGCUAAUACCGCAUACGAUCUAUGGAUGAAAGCGGGGGAUCGCAAGACCUCGCGCGAUUGGAGCGGCCGAUAUCAGAUUAGGUAGUUGGUGAGGUAAAGGCUCACCAAGCCGACGAUCUGUAGCUGGUCUGAGAGGACGACCAGCCACACUGGGACUGAGACACGGUCCAGACUCCUACGGGAGGCAGCAGUGGGGAAUUUUGGACAAUGGGCGAAAGCCUGAUCCAGCAAUGCCGCGUGAGUGAAGAAGGCCUU